Molecule: ribosomal RNA, 253 nt
Filed under: uncultured bacterium
Lineage: Bacteria
Description: partial 16S ribosomal RNA
Rfam family: Bacterial small subunit ribosomal RNA
Source: RNAcentral
UACGAAGUGGGCUAGCGUUGUUCGGAAUUACUGGGCGUAAAGCGCACGUAGGCGGGCAUGUAAGAUGGGGGUGAAAUCCCGGGGCUCAACCCCGGAAUUGUCUUCAAGACUGCAAGUCUGGAGGUCAGGAGAGGCGAGCGGAAUUCCGAGUGUAGAGGUGAAAUUCGUAGAUAUUAGGAGGAACACCAGUUGCGAAGGCUGCUCGCUGUACUGAUACUAACGCUGAGGUGCGAAAGCGUGGGGAGCGAACAGG